UCGAGAAUCUUCCGCAAUGGGCGAAAGCCUGACGGAGCGACACCGCGUGAUGGAUGAAGUGCUUCGGUAUGUAAACAUCUUUUAUAGGGGAAAAAGUUUAUUGAUGGUACCCUAUGAAUAAGGACCUGCCAAACUCGUGCCAGCAGCAGCGGUAAUACGAGUGGUCCAAGCGUUAUCCGGAAUUAUUGGGCGUAAAGCGUGCGUAGGUGGAUUUGUUAGUCAGUAGUUUAACCCAUGAGCUCAACUUGUG
This 250-nucleotide ribosomal RNA is filed under the name uncultured bacterium. RNAcentral's name for it is "partial 16S ribosomal RNA". It matches the Rfam family "Bacterial small subunit ribosomal RNA", at positions 355 to 618 of the family's 1533-position model. The record is from RNAcentral.